Molecule: transfer RNA, 56 nt
Filed under: Camelus bactrianus (Bactrian camel)
Lineage: Eukaryota; Metazoa; Chordata; Mammalia; Artiodactyla; Camelidae
Also listed under: 2 other names
Rfam family: tRNA
About the family: Transfer RNA (tRNA) molecules are approximately 80 nucleotides in length.
Source: Rfam by way of RNAcentral
AGCUCAGUGGUAGAGCACGUGCCUAGCAUGCAUGAGGUCCUGGGUUCAAUCCCUAG